Molecule: long non-coding RNA, 4635 nt
Filed under: Homo sapiens (human)
Lineage: Eukaryota; Metazoa; Chordata; Mammalia; Primates; Hominidae
Description: HSALNT0079410
Source: RNAcentral
UUUGCCCCUUUGCUUCCUGCUGUGUACUUGAGCUGGGACAUCAGUCUUCUCCUGCCCUUGGACUGGGAUUUACACCCUCAGCCUCUGGUUCUCAGGCCUUCAGACUUGGACUGGAAUUAUACUCUUGGUCUCCUCUCCAGUUUGCAGACAGCAGAUCAUGGGACUUGAUCUGCUCAGCCUCAAUAAUCACGAAGUAAUCUCCAGGCUGGAUGACCAUUGAAUCACCUGGGAGCAUCUUGAAAAGAAGAGAUUCAUGGGCCUCCCGCUGGAUCCACCGAACCAGAACCUCCUGAGAAAAAAGGAAUAAAGCAAGUCCAUGUCAGCUGGAGAGAAAAUAUUCCUAUACAACCAAAGCUAGGAGAGGAACAGUGUGGAGCUGAUUUUGAUUUAAAGAAAAUGUUCAUGGUUAAAUGAAGAAAACAGUGAAAAAAAGACUAAUGGAAACUGCAAGAGGCUGGAAGGUGUUAAUACCUAUCCUUACCCAUCAUUAUGGUCACGGCCAAUGCUCCCAUAACAAAAGACAGUUUCAGGUAUGUCUUUAUCAGCAGUGUGAAAACAAACUAAUACAAUACAUUGGUACCAGGAGUGGGGUGUUGCUGAAAAGAUACCUGAAAAUGUGGAAAUGACUUUGGAGCACAGGUUGGAACAGUUUGGAAGGCUCAGAAGAAGACAAGAACAUUUGGGAAAGUUUGGAACCUCCUAGGGACUCGUUGAAUGGCUUUGACAAAAAUGCUAAUAGUGAUAUGAAUAAUAAAGUCCAGGUGGAGAUGGCCUCAGAUGGAGAUGAGAAACUUGUUGGGAACUGGAGCAAAGGUGACUCUUGUUACAUUUUAGCAAAAAGACUGGUCGCAUUUUGCCCCUAACCUAGAGAUUUGUGGAACUUUGAACUUGAGAGAGAUGAUUUAGGGUAUCUGGCAAAAGAAAUUUCUAAGCAGCAAAGCAUUCAAAAGAUUACUUGGGUGCUGUUAAUAGCAUUCUGUUUUAAAAGGGAAAGAGAGCAUAGAAGUUCAGAAAAUUUGCAGCCUGAUGAUGCAGUAGAAAAGAAAAACCCAGUUUUUUGAGGAAAAAUUCAAGCUGGCUGCAGAAAUUUGCAUAAGUAGCAAAAAGCCUAAUGUUAAUCCCGAAGGCCAUGGGGAAAAUGUCUUCAGGGCAUGUCAGAGAUCUUUAUGGCAGCACCUCCCAUCACAGGCCUGGAGGCCCAGGAGGAAAAAGUGGUUUCAUGGGCCAGGCCCAGGCUCCUCAUGCUGUGUGCAACCUAGGGACUUAGUGCCCCAUGUCCCAGCUGCUCCAGCUGUGGCUGAAAGGAGUCAAUAUAGAGCUUGGGCUGUGGUUUCAGAGGGUGGAGGCCCCAAGCCUUGGCAGCUUCCACAUGGUGUCAAGCCUGUGGGUGCAGAGAAGUCAAGACUUGAGGUUUGGGAAUCUCCAUCUAGAUUUCAAAAGAUGUCUGGAAAUACCUGGAUGCCCAGGCAGAAGUUUGCUGCAGGGGCGGGGCCCUCAUGGAGAACCUCUGCUAGGGCAGUGCAGAAGGAAAAUGUGGGUUUGGAGCCCCACACAGAGUCCCUACUGUGGCACUGCCCAGUGGAGCUGUGAGAAGAGGGCUACCUUCCUCCAGACCCCAGAAUGGUAGAUCCACUGACAGCUUGCACCGUGCACCUGGAAAAGCUACAGACACUCAACACCAGCCUGUGAAAGGAGCCAGGAGGGAGGCUGUACCCUGCAAAGCCACAGGGGUGGAGCUGUCCAAGACCAUGGGAACCCACCUCUUGCAUCAGCAUGACCUGGAUGUGAAAGCUGGAGUCAAAGGAGGUCAUUUUGGAGCUUUAAAAUUUCACUACCCCACUGGAUUUUGGACUUCCAUGAGCCCUAUAAUCCCUUUGUUUUGGUCAAUUUCUCCCAUUUGGAAUGGCUGUAUUUACCCAAUACCUGUAUGCCCAUUGUGACUAGGAAGUAACUAGCUUGCUUUUGAUUUUACAGGCUCAUAGGCGGAAGGGACUUGCCUUGUCUCAGAUGAGAAUUUAGACUGUGGACUUUUGGGUUAAUGCUGAAAUGAGUUAAGACUUUGGGGGACUUUUGGGAAGGCAUGAUUGGUUUUGAAAUAUGAGAACAUGAGAUUUGGAGGAGUCAGGGGUGGAAUGAUAUGGUUUGGCUGUCUACCCACCCAAAUCUCAACUUCAAUUGUAUCUUCCAGAAUUCCCACAUGUUGUGGGAGGGACCUAGCAGGAGGUAAUUGAAUCAUGGGGGCCAACCUUUUCUGUGCUAUUCUCAUGAUAGUGAAUAAGUCUCAUGAGAUCUGAUGGGUUUAUCAGGUAUUUUUGCUUUCACUUCCUCCUCAUUUUUCUCUUGCCACUGCCAUGUAAGAAGUGUCAUUCACCUGCUGCCAUGAUUCUGAAGCCUCCCCAGCCAUGAGGAACUGUAAGUCAAAUUAAACCUCUUUUUAUUCCCAGUUUGGGUAGGUGUUUAUCAGCAGCAUGAAAACAAAUUAAUACAGGUAGGAUUUAAUGGUAAGAGAGUUUGGGGGGAAACCUAGCAAGGCCUAUCCAGAUUCUUCUUGGCCUCUCUGUGUAGCACUUUUCCUUCCCUGGUAUAGGGCAGGACCCCUUAGGAAUGAGAGUCUUAUGGCCAACUGUCAGUCAAAGUAGGUCAGAGAACUUCUUUAAGGACAGCUCCUACACAGAAAGGCAGGAGAAGGUUAGGGUGACUUUGCUUCUGAGGUUGCUUCGGCAGCCUUCCAACCUCCUUCAGUUCAAAGUACUCAGCAUGCCAAAGUGCCAUACUUUGGAGCGUGAUUUUUCAGAACUGCAACAAAACUAUUACUGAAUAGUGGGAGGAUAAAAUUAAAAUCCUUGAAUUUCAUGAAUAGUGAAUUUUAAGAAAUAUUUUUUGAAAGCCACACAUGAAAAACUCUCAGAAAUUUAACUUUUUUUUCAGAAAAUGUUUGAUUAGCAUCAUCUCCAUCUGACCACUUCUGCCAUUUCCAAGAUUUCUAGGCUGACAUAUGCUCCAUUCCUUUUCUCUACAUAAACUCCCUAUGUGUCCCCACUCCUUGCUCCACUCACUGGAAACCUGACUUGUGGUUCAGCUGCUGACAAAUUCUGGAUGAAUACAAGAAGCUCACUUCUUUGCCACUAAAAUAAAACACAUGAAACACAUGAAAGGGAAUCAUUUCAUGUGUAAAAGACUAAAGGACUUUCUCUUUUUUUUUGAGACAGGGUCUCACUGUCAUCCAGGCUGGAGUACAGCAGUGCAGUCAUAGCUCAUUGCAGCCUCGAAGUCCUGGGCUCACAUAGUCCUCCUGCUUUAGCCUCCCAAGUAGCUUGGAACUACAGGUCUGAGCGACUGCUGUGGGCUGAGGAACUCUUUUUUUUUUUUUUAUACUUUAAGUUCUAGGGUACAUGUGCACAAUGUGCAGGUUUGAUACAUAGGCAUACAUGUGCCAUGUUGGUUUGCUGCAGCCAUCAACUUGUCAUUUACAUUAGGUAUUUCUCCUAAUGCUAUCCCUCCCCCAGCCCCUCACCCCCUGACAGGCCCCAGUGAGUGAUGUUCCCUGCCCUGUGUCCAAGUGAUCUCAUUGUUCAAUUCCCACCUAUGGGUGAGAACAUGCAGUGUUUGGUUUUCUGUCCUUGUGAUAGUUUGCCGGGAAUGAUGGUUUCCAGCUUCAUUUAUGUCCCUGCAAAGGACAUGAACUCAUCCUUUCUUAUGACUGCAUAGUAUUCCAUGGUAUAUAUGUGCCACAUUUUCUUAAUCCAGUCUAUCAUUGAUGGACUUUUGGGUUGGUUCCAAGUCUUUGCUAUUGUGAAUAGUGCUGCAAUAAAUAUACGUGUGCAUGUGUCUUUACAGUAGCAUGAUUUAUAAUCCUUUGGGUAUAUACCCAGUAAUGGGAUGGCUGGGUCAAGUGGUAUUUCUAGUUCUAGAUCCUUGAGGGAUCGCCACACUGUCUUCCACAAUGGUUGAACUAGUUUACAGUCCCACCAACAGUGUAAAAGUGUUCCUAUUUCUCCACAUCCUCUCCAGCAUCUAUUGUUUCCUGACUUUUUAAAGAUUGCCAUUCUAACUGGUGUGAGAUGGUAUCUCAUUGUGGUUUUGAUUUGCAUUUCUCUGGUGGCCAGUGAUGAUGAGCAUUUUUUCAUGUGUCUGUUGGCUGCAUAAUUGUCUUCUUUUGAGAAGUGUCCGUUCAUAUCCUUUGCCUGCUUUUUGAUGGGGUUGUUUGUUUUUUUCUUCUAAACUUGUUUGAGUUAUUUAUAGAUUCUGGAUAUUAGCCCUUUGUCAGGUGGGUAGAUUGCAAAAAUUUUCUCCCAUUCUGUAGGUUGCCUGUUCACUCUGAUGGUAGUUUCUUUUGCUGUGCGGAAGCUCUUUAGUUUAAUUAGACCCCAUUUGUCUAUUUUGGCUUUUCUUGCCAUUGCUUUUAGUGUUUUAGUCAUGAAGUCCUUGCCCAUGCCUAUGUCCUGAAUGGUAUUGCCUAGGUUUUCUUCUAGUGUUUUUAUGGUUUUAGGUCUAACAUUUGAGUCUUUAAUCCAUCUUGAAUUAAUUUUUGUAUAAGGUGUAAGGAAGGGAUCCAGUUUCAACUUUCUACAUAUGGUUAGCCGGUUUUCCCAGCACCAUUAAUUAAAUAGGGAAUCCUUUCCCCAUUUCUUGUUU